Molecule: long non-coding RNA, 805 nt
Organism: Xiphophorus hellerii (green swordtail)
Lineage: Eukaryota; Metazoa; Chordata; Actinopteri; Cyprinodontiformes; Poeciliidae
Exons: 2
Source: RefSeq, a predicted model, not a curated record
GCGGGGCGAUGGCGGUGGACCUGGGUUGAAGGAGGAGAAAGCGAGUAGGCUCCAGCAGUAGCACGGCAGCGCGGCGGACCUUGCAUAAGUGUCCAUGCCAUCGGGAUCCGCUGCUUUUUCCCCAAAUGCUUUUCAGCGGGAAGGAAUUGUGCACCCCCUCCCGUCUUCGUUAUUCUGCCAUAAGACGACGCCACUCUUUAUCUUUGCCCCCAAAAAUUGCAGUGGGAAGGUGCCGCUGUUAUGGUUCUCCGUAUCAUCUGCAACGGAGGGAAGAGACGCAAAAUGCUGCAGUGAAGCACAAGUUGGGGGAGCCUGAUCGCAAAACAAAGGGACCCGUUUCAUUCCACGAAAACAAAAUAGAACAAUGAUAGAAAAUUAUAACAAUAAAAAAAAUAAAUAAAAGGAAUUAUUUCUGCACGCCAGCUACAGCGUUAAUACGCCGCCUUCCACCGCGGCUCUCUCUCCGCCUCCCCUACCAGCCGCUGACGGAGAGAAAAUAAGACCGAUCGCCAAGGGGCUCCAAAAAAAAAAAAAAAAAAAAAAAAAUGCAGUAUACAAGAAACCGAUGGACCAAAAGGGUCUAUCUCCCCCCCCUUUUAGUUCUGCAUGUCAGUCACUCCAUGGUGUUUCUUCAGCGAGGAUCUCUUGCUCUAAUAAAACAAAUGCAAAUCCUAAAUCCAUGGCUCCCCCUCCUUACAAGCGCAUCCUACUGUAGCCAAGGCAUUUCGCAACCUCCCCCCCACACCUCCCCCCAAAAAAGAAAGAAAAAAAAUCAUAUAGAUUAACAACAGGGGUAGAGGGGGGG